RNAcentral lists this ribosomal RNA (216 nucleotides) under Clostridioides difficile. RNAcentral describes it as "partial 16S ribosomal RNA". It matches the Rfam family "Bacterial small subunit ribosomal RNA", at positions 894 to 1107 of the family's 1533-position model. The record is from RNAcentral. Lineage: Bacteria; Bacillati; Bacillota; Clostridia; Peptostreptococcales; Peptostreptococcaceae.
GUGAAACUCAAAGGAAUUGACGGGGACCCGCACAAGUAGCGGAGCAUGUGGUUUAAUUCGAAGCAACGCGAAGAACCUUACCUAAGCUGGACAUCCCAAUGACAUCUCCUUAAUCGGAGAGUUCCCUGCGGGGACAUUGGUGACAGGUGGUGCAUGGUUGUCGUCAGCUCGUGUCGUGAGAUGUUGGGUUAAGUCCCGCAACGAGCGCAACCCUUG